UACAGGGGGGGCAAGCGUUGUUCGGAAUUACUGGGCGUAAAGGGCUCGUAGGCGGCCAACUAAGUCCGACGUGAAAUCCCAAAGCUUAACUUUGGAACUGUGUCGGAUACUGGAUGGCUUGAAUUCGGGAGAGGGAUGCAGAAUUCCAGGUGUAGCGGUGAAAUGCGUAGAUAUCUGGAGGAAUACCGGUGGCGAAGGCGGCAUCCUGGACCGACAUUGACGCUGAGGAGCGAAAGCUAGGGGAGCAAACGGG
Molecule: ribosomal RNA, 253 nt
Filed under: uncultured bacterium
Lineage: Bacteria
Description: partial 16S ribosomal RNA
Rfam family: Bacterial small subunit ribosomal RNA
Source: RNAcentral